This 480-nucleotide ribosomal RNA is filed under the name uncultured bacterium. RNAcentral describes it as "partial 16S ribosomal RNA". It matches the Rfam family "Bacterial small subunit ribosomal RNA", at positions 29 to 523 of the family's 1533-position model. The record is from RNAcentral.
AAUGAACGUUGGCGGCGUGGAUUAGGCAUGCAAGUCGUACGAGAAUCGUAGCAAUACGAGGAAAGUGGCGGAAGGGAGAGGAUUACGUGGGAAUCUACCCUCAGAACUGGGAUAGCGGCGGGAAACUGCCGGUAAUGCCAGAUAAUGUCUGUGGACCAAAGGUGUGAUUCCGUCUGGGGAUGAGCCCACGUCCUAUUAGCUAGUUGGCAGGGUAAUGGCCUACCAAGGCAAUGAUGGGUAGCGGGUGUGAGAGCAUGACCCGCCUCACUGGGACUGAGAACUGCCCAGACACCUACGGGUGGCUGCAGUCGAGAAGCUUCGGCAAUGAGCGCAAGCUUGACCGAGCGACGCCGCGUGCGGGAUGAAGGCCUUCGGGUUGUAAACCGCUGUCGUAGGGGAGCAAGAGAUGAGGGUACUCCCUCUGAUUUGAGCGAUCCUAGGAGGAAGGACGGGCUAAGUUCGUGCCAGCCGCCGCCGUAA